RNAcentral lists this transfer RNA (72 nucleotides) under Phrynosoma platyrhinos (Desert horned lizard). RNAcentral describes it as "tRNA-OTHER". The record is from RNAcentral. Lineage: Eukaryota; Metazoa; Chordata; Lepidosauria; Squamata; Phrynosomatidae.
CCCAGAAUGGUGUAGUGGUUUGAAUGUUGGGCUGUGACUCUGGAGACCAGGGUUCAAUUCCCGGCUCAGCCA